This is a long non-coding RNA of Danio rerio (zebrafish), 2009 nucleotides long. Lineage: Eukaryota; Metazoa; Chordata; Actinopteri; Cypriniformes; Danionidae. The record is from Ensembl.
AAACUAGAAUACGGGGCGGGACUUACAGGUUGCGUUCAAUGUGUUCGGUUGGUUUUCAGCACUAGCAGUGGAUCAUUUUUUAUUUUAUGAACAUUGUCAACAUUAGAGUCUCGGGCUGAUGUCUCUCCGCAAAACUCUAACGUUACCCAGAUUUGGGUUCGCGGCUCGUGACCGAAGUUUUAGAAAUUUGGUGACCUCCACUUGUCGCUAUCAUCAAACCAAAACAAACACACAAGAGGAGUCCGUUAACAGCAGUGAGCAUGACUCCUUCAAUAGCAAGAUCUCCAUCGACUUUGAACUGACCAGAGAAGCCUACAAGAGCAAAGACACUCUUGAGCUGCUGAGAAGCUUGGUCGUUUUCAAACUGUGCUCCUAUGACAUACUGGUCGAUAAGAAUAAAGAGAUAAUAGACCUCAGCAGGAAGCUCUUGGGCCAGAAAAUGUUUGAGCAGUUUAUGAAGAUGACGUUCUACGGUCAGUUUGUGGCAGGCGAGGACCAUCAGUCCAUCAGGCCGGUCGUACAGAAGAACCAGGCGUAUGGAGUGGGAGCUGUGCUGGAUUACAGUGUAGAAGAGGAUCUCUCACAGGAAGAGGCUGAAAGGAAAGAAAUGGAGUAAGUUUUGAUGUAAACAAGAUCAAACGACCAGGUUUCAAAUAAUAUUAACCCAAAAACUUUAAUUCUGUCAUUGUUUAUUCGCUCUAUACUUGUUCCAAGUCUAUUAGUGUUUUUCUUUUCUUCUGUUGAACACAAAAUAUGAUGUUUUGAAGAGUGCUGAAAACUUUUAACCAUUAACUUCAAUUAUAUUUGCAAUUCUUUGCAUGGAUGCUGUUGCACACUGGUAUUUAAAAAAUCUAAAUACAUACAUAUUUACAUAUAAAUUAUGUAAAUUAUAUUAGAUUUUUUUAGGAGAUUGUUGUUGAAGAUUGUUGUUCUGCUAAUUAUUUCAAAGGGUUAACCUGUUUUGUCUGUUGAACACAAAAAAAAUAUAUUUCGAAGAAUGCUGAAAACCUGUAACCAUUGACUUGCAUUUUAUUUGCUUUUCUUAGCAUGGAAGUUGAUGUUGUAAAAAUGAGGAAAAAAGUUUACCUGGUCAUUUCAAACCUGUUUGAGUUUCUCUUUCUUCUGUUGAACACAAGUAGAUAUUUUGAGGAAUGCUGAACACCUGUAUCCAUUGACCUCAUUUUAUUUGCUUUUCCUAGCAUGGAUUUUGUAAUUGUAAUCAUUUACAAUAAAACAUUAAAUUAUUAAAUUAUUUAAAUUAUUUCAUCUUGAUAGUAGAAUGUUGUUCAAGAUGUUCAGUUGAUUAUCUUAAAGGCAUAGUUCACCUCAAAAUGAAAAAAAUAAAUUAAAUUACUCGUUUCGAACCUGUUUGAUUUUCUUUCUUCUGUUGAACACGCACACUAAAAAAGAUAUAUAAAAAUAUAUUGGAGACUUGUAACCAUUCACUUCCAUAGUAUUUGUCUUUCCUACUGAAGAUGUUUACAGUUUUUCAGCUUUCUUCCAAACAUCUUCUUUUCAGAGAUACUCUAAAGAUUUUGAAGGACUCGAUGGGAGAGUAAAUUGUCUUUUUUGGGUGAUCUAUCCCUUUAAUUCGUUUUCUGGCAUUUAUUUGCAGAGCACACAAGCCAAACUUGACUAAUUAAUGGGCAAAUAAAUAAAUCAGUGAUCAGUGUGUGAGUGGAAUAUAAAUGUGUGCAAUUAUUUUGUUCCAUAGCACUUGAUUAGCUUAAUUUAAAGCAGCUUGUUAAGUUUUUUUUUCUUUGUUGGUAUUUACUGUUUUCCAGUUUUUUUUUUGGGGGGGGGGGGGGCAAUCAUUAAAGUUUAUUUUUCCAUUUAAAGGGGACCUAUUAAGCACACAUCACCUUUAUAUGGGGUUUAAACAUUUCUGUGGCAGCAGUCUGUGAAUAUGACCAGCUUCUUUUAGUAAAAAUGUAUUGAUUUUAUUUUUUUAAAUUACACUUGAUAAAAACAGAAGCAGAAACACUUUGAUUGACAUUCUCCUUUUUGUA